GGGGAAUUUUGCACAAUGGGCCAAAAGCCUGAUGCAGCGAUGCCGCGUGGAUGAAGAAGGCCUUCGGGUUGUAAAGUCCUUUCGACAGGAAAGAAGCAAAUGACGGUACCUGGAGAAGAAGCCACGGCUAAUCACGUGCCAGCAGCCGCGGUAAGACGUGAGUGGCAAGCGUUAUCCGGAAUUACUGGGCGUAAAGAGCGCGUAGGCGACUUUGCAAGUCAGGGGUGAAAAGUCAGGGCUUAACCUUGGCCUUGCCUUUGAAACUGCAGAGAUAGAGUACAGGAUAGGAGGGUGGAACUACAAGUGUAGCGGUGGAAUGCGUAGAUAUUUGUAGGAAUGCCGAUGACGAAGGUAACUCUCUGGACUGAUACUGACGCUGAGGUGCGAGAGCUAGGGGAGCAAAC
RNAcentral lists this ribosomal RNA (404 nucleotides) under uncultured bacterium. RNAcentral's name for it is "bacterial SSU rRNA". It matches the Rfam family "Bacterial small subunit ribosomal RNA", at positions 356 to 773 of the family's 1533-position model. The record is from RNAcentral.